CACGUAGGCGGCCCGGUAAGUCGGAUGUGAAAUCUCACGGCUCAACCGUGGAACUGCAUUCGAAACUGUCGGGCUAGAGGCAGGUAGGGGGAGAUCGGAAUUCCCGGUGUAGCGGUGAAAUGCGCAGAUAUCGGGAGGAACACCGGUGGCGAAGGCGGAUCUCUGGGCCUGUCCUGACGCUCAGGCGCGAAAGCUAGGGGAGCGAACA
Molecule: ribosomal RNA, 208 nt
Filed under: uncultured bacterium
Lineage: Bacteria
Description: partial 16S ribosomal RNA
Rfam family: Bacterial small subunit ribosomal RNA
Source: RNAcentral